Molecule: long non-coding RNA, 732 nt
Filed under: Lathyrus oleraceus (garden pea)
Lineage: Eukaryota; Viridiplantae; Streptophyta; Magnoliopsida; Fabales; Fabaceae
Description: Pisum sativum (pea) long non-coding RNA (PSAT_LNC007664)
Source: RNAcentral
UACUGCAACAUAAAAUUUGACAGAAGUGCAACACAAAUUAGUCAGAAGUGUAACAUUAACCAUACCCAACAAGUUUUACAAGAAAGGACCAAAAGUCUUACAACACUAACAACAACAUUACCCAUAAUCACCACUUCUUGACCAAAAUACACAUCAACACUACAACAAUCAAAACAAAAAAUAUUAUGACAAAAACUAGCAUCUUUAGCAUCUUUAACAUGUUCUUCAUCAUCUCCUUAGUGUAGUUGUCAUCUCCAUGGAUCUUUUCAAUGUCCAUUCUAAGUAUGUUGAUUUCUACAUAUUUUUUCUCACAUUUAGAACAUUUAGAAAUUAUUGACUAUUGUAUUUCUGGUUUUACUUCAUCAAUGUAUUCUUUUUCAUACCACUCAAAAUAAUUGCAUCCACAAUUAUCACAUUCACUCUGUUAACAAUAACACUCACAAAGCACCAAUUAAUCUCUGCAAAACCAUAACAGACAGAGAAAAAUAAAGCAAUAAAUGUACCACAAAGUAUCUGCAGCCCCAAAAGAGCUUCCCAAAGUUUCUUCCUUUCUUCUUAACUGUUCUUAUCACUGCUUUGGCUCCACACAUACAUGUUGGUUCAUUUUCAGGUUGGGAUGCGCUCGAAAUGAAGGGUUGAGAGUUCUAACUUCGUCGAUUUGCUCAUUUGCUAAGGUAUGAAGCCAUUAAUGGAGAAGGGAUAAUUAGGGUUUGUUGCUUUAUGUAUUUCAAC